Molecule: long non-coding RNA, 303 nt
Organism: Zalophus californianus (California sea lion)
Lineage: Eukaryota; Metazoa; Chordata; Mammalia; Carnivora; Otariidae
Exons: 3
Source: RefSeq, a predicted model, not a curated record
GGCAAACGGCCUUUUCUUGAGCUCAAGACUCUUUACCGAGAGAAUAAAUGAUCCCUACAUUUGGGUGAUGCUGCUACUGCUGCCCUAGGAGCCCUACUUUGAGAACCACUGCACUGUGCCACAAAGAAAUGAUUGGCAGGUGUGUUCCUGUGAAGGGGCCAUCUUUCCUUGUGCAGAAGAAACAGAUGAACUGGAGAAAUGGAAGGUGCCAGAAAGUGAGGGACAAUCUAUACCAUGGGAGCCUGGGUAACUGGUCCAGAAAAACAGAGACAUCUUGAAAUAACUUUACUAUAAAUGGGUACC